This 82-nucleotide transfer RNA is filed under the name Rickettsiaceae bacterium. RNAcentral's name for it is "tRNA-Leu". It matches the Rfam family "tRNA". From Rfam's summary of the family: Transfer RNA (tRNA) molecules are approximately 80 nucleotides in length. Their secondary structure includes four short double-helical elements and three loops (D, anti-codon, and T loops). The record is from RNAcentral. Lineage: Bacteria; Pseudomonadati; Pseudomonadota; Alphaproteobacteria; Rickettsiales; Rickettsiaceae.
GCGAGUGUGCUGGAACUGGUAGACAGGCUUCACUUAAGAUGAAGUGCAUAUAUGCGUAAGAGUUCGAUUCUCUUCAUUCGUA